UACGGAGGGUGCAAGCGUUAUCCGGAAUUAUUGGGUUUAAAGGGUCCGUAGGCGGACCAUUAAGUCAGUGGUGAAAUCUCUCGGCUCAACCGGGAAACUGCCAUUGAUACUGAUGGUCUUGAAUAUAGUUGAAGUGGGCGGAAUAUGGCAUGUAGCGGUGAAAUGCUUAGAUAUGCCAUAGAACACCGAUAGCGAAGGCAGCUCACUAAGUUAUUAUUGACGCUAAGGGACGAAAGCGUGGGGAGCGAACAGG
RNAcentral lists this ribosomal RNA (253 nucleotides) under uncultured bacterium. RNAcentral describes it as "partial 16S ribosomal RNA". It matches the Rfam family "Bacterial small subunit ribosomal RNA", at positions 524 to 776 of the family's 1533-position model. The record is from RNAcentral.